This 494-nucleotide ribosomal RNA is filed under the name uncultured bacterium. Its description in RNAcentral is "partial 16S ribosomal RNA". It matches the Rfam family "Bacterial small subunit ribosomal RNA", at positions 28 to 507 of the family's 1533-position model. The record is from RNAcentral.
GACGAACGCUGGCGGCGUGCUUAACACAUGCAAGUCGAACGGAAAGGCCUGCUUUCCCUUGUGGAUUGCGGGUACUCGAGUGGCGAACGGGUGAGUAACACGUGAGUGAUCUGCCCCCAACUUGGGUAUAAGCCUGGGAAACUGGGUCUAAUUCCCGAUAGGACUGCAGGGUGGUGCCUGUGGUGGAAAACGAUUUUCUAGUGGUUGGGGAUGAGCUCGCGGCCUAUCAGCUUGUUGGUGGGGUAAUGGCCUACCAAGGCGGCGACGGGUAGCCGGCCUGGGAGGGUGGACGGCCACAUUGGGACUGAGAUACGGCCCAGACUCCUACGGGAGGCAGCAGUGGGGACUAUUGCACAAUGGGCGGAAGCCUGAUGCAGCGACGCCGCGUGGGGGAUGACGGCCUUCGGGUUGUAAACUCCUUUCGACCGCGAGGAAGCCACCUGGUUGGAAGGGUGGUGACGGUAGUGGUAGAAGAAGCACCGGCUAACUACGUG